CCAAAUUUGUUUUUAGAACUAUACCACCCGUCAAAUAGAAAGUAUAACCAACAAUACAAGACUAAAUACAAUUAAGCAUUCAAAUACCAAAUUCAACAUACAAUCCAAUUCAUUUCAUAAACAAAUCCUAAUUCAAUCCAUUUCAUAAACAAUAUCCAACUAAACAGAAAGUAGAACAAGAACUCAAAAAAUUCAGCAUUCAAUAUUCAACAUCCAGCUACCAUCCAAGACAAACUAAUAAAAGAAAUUAGUCCUUAGUUAUCAUCAGAUGCUGGAGAACGGGACAUGGGAAAUGCACCAGAUACUAAGAGGGAGUUUAUCUGAGAUUGAGACUUUUAACAUCACUAGUGAUAAGUAUUCCAUGGUUAUCAUCAAUCAACUGAUUUUGAAUGAACUCCCCCAAGAUUCGUUUGAAAGUAUCCUGUAAAAAAAAUAUAAUUAUUGUAAAAGUAAACUUUAUUAAAGAAAAUUUAUGCAAGUAUCUUUAUUUCUCAAACUUUAAAGUGAAACACACGGAAAGAUAAAAAGCUAAACAGUCUGGCUGGACUUAAUUAUUUUAAUACUAUAUUUCAAAAAUAUCCAAUGUAUGAAACUUACUCGCAUAUAGACAAUGUAUCAGUACUUCUAAUAGGAAAAAAUUACUACACCUUCUUUUAUGUAAAAAUCAAUACCCAUAAGCCCUCUAAUAGGCACCACUGGCAUUUGCUCUCAAUUAGAUUCUAUCACCUUCAACUUCUAAAGAACUAAACACCUAUAAACAAAGAAAAUUAAAUGGAAAUGUUAAGUUAAGACUGUAGCACCUCCUUAGGGAGGUUUCCACUUAUUAAAAAAUAGCUAAUCUAACCUACUAGCAAUUAUUAUUUGAAAGUAAUUUAAACACAUUAUUAUCAUAAUCUAUUAGCGGAAAUAGACCCAUGUGAACGAGGUUCAAAAUACGACAUUUCAACAUAGUAAAAUCUCAUAAAAUUCUUAAAAGUACGAGAAUAUUACUUUUAAAAAUAGUGAGCAAAACCUAUUGAAUUAAAUCAAUACCGUAAGUUGUAUCAAAUAAUUAUCCGUAAUUCAAGAAAAAAGAAACAAGCUCAUUUAUAAUAUUUUCCUCAAUAACUAAUACAUUUGUUUGCAAAUUAUAUUUAUCAUUCAGUACCCUCAAUUCAAGAUAGAACUCGUAGCCAAUAGGGUACACCUUUUAGUGCCUUGCCUACAUUGAAGCAUAUCUUAAGCGAGGUAAAGCUCCCUUCCGGAGCUGUUCUGAGCUUCGGAUCUUGAGCGUGCCUUAAAUGAGCCCUUGACAAUAUUGAUAACUAGUAGAGGAAUAUUUUUUAAUACUACAACAUUCAAGACUCAUUCUAAGCAUGAAAUUUAACUCUUAAUCUCAAAUACAAACAAGUUAAGUCUCCCAAGUUUAAUACAAGUACCAAAUUAAAUAUAUCACAAGAAUUGGGCAAAGACUAUGCCAAUAUAGUUGAAUCAUUCACAAAUCGAGUUACCAAUUCUAAUAUCUCUUUAACUCAACUACAAAACUUAACCCUCAGUGGUAGACAAACAAUUAAAAUAUCCGAAAAUAUUUCUAAAUUAGUCAUAGCAAGUAGGGUACUAAAGUAGGAACAACCAAUAUAAUAACUUAACGUAAAGAAAACUUUUACCAAGACUCAAGCUAUUCAAUUAACUCCAACAAAAUAAAGCGAAUGAAUAAUUCAAGUUUCUAAAGCUCAAUCAAAUAUUAAGGAAAUAUAAAUUCUCAAAGCAAGUCAAGCCAUUAUAUGUCAAUGGGUCUAAAUGGGUCUCUACAAUUCACAAUUCUUAAAGAGAAAAUCUGGGUAGCAGCUCUGCCCUAUAUUACAGCAGAUAUUUGAGGCAGUAAACUACAGAACUGGACAUCUUGGUCUGUAUAAUAAUUGUAGAUAUAUCUCUUAUCUUUUUACAGCCUUUUAAAUCACCCCAUUCCGAUUUUUAGAGAAAAAGUUAUGCCCAAAAUAGUAACUGCUGUCCAAUUAAAAAACGGGAUUAAAUUUUUGAUUUUAAAUGACUAAAAUUUACCAUGCAAAAGAUAUGCUAAUUCACAUAUAGAUAGAGUAAGAAACUUACUGCAAGUUUGAGAGAGUUUCUCCACAAAAUUCAAAGCCUAGAGUUUCCAAAAUAAGCUCAAUCCAUCUUGAUUCUUAAAGGUAAAAUCCAAAUCUUCCUUCAAUAGGUAAGUAAAUAAGUUUUAAUAUUUUAAAACUUGAAUUUUAAUGAUGGAAAAAGAAUUGCAUGUAUAUGUGUUGAGCUCUUCAAUGGUGUUUGAUAGAUGAAGAAGGAGGACAAGAUUUAAAAUCCUUGGGGGGAUGUAGAGAUUUUUCUUUGGGGGCUGCCGAACGAAUCCCCCAAAGAAAAAUCCUUGAAUGAGU
RNAcentral lists this long non-coding RNA (2390 nucleotides) under Nicotiana tabacum (common tobacco). RNAcentral's name for it is "long non-coding RNA (NTAB_LNC012167)". The record is from RNAcentral. Lineage: Eukaryota; Viridiplantae; Streptophyta; Magnoliopsida; Solanales; Solanaceae.